UACGUAGGGUGCAAGCGUUGUCCGGAAUUAUUGGGCGUAAAGAGCUCGUAGGCGGUCUGUCGCGUCGAAUGUGAAAACCCGGGGCUCAACCCCGGGCCUGCAUUCGAUACGGGCAGACUAGAGUUCGGUAGGGGAGUCUGGAAUUCCUGGUGUAGCGGUGAAAUGCGCAGAUAUCAGGAAGAACACCCGUGGCGAAAGCGGCUCUCUGGAACGGUACUGACGCUGAGACGCGAAAGCGUGGGGAGCAAACAGG
This 253-nucleotide ribosomal RNA is filed under the name uncultured bacterium. Its description in RNAcentral is "partial 16S ribosomal RNA". It matches the Rfam family "Bacterial small subunit ribosomal RNA", at positions 524 to 776 of the family's 1533-position model. The record is from RNAcentral.